RNAcentral lists this ribosomal RNA (465 nucleotides) under Vreelandella stevensii. RNAcentral describes it as "partial 16S ribosomal RNA". It matches the Rfam family "Bacterial small subunit ribosomal RNA", at positions 338 to 795 of the family's 1533-position model. Lineage: Bacteria; Pseudomonadati; Pseudomonadota; Gammaproteobacteria; Oceanospirillales; Halomonadaceae. The record is from RNAcentral.
CCUACGGGGGUCAGCAGUGGGGAAUAUUGGACAAUGGGCGAAAGCCUGAUCCAGCCAUGCCGCGUGUGUGAAGAAGGCCUUCGGGUUAUAAAGCACUUUCAGUGGGGAAGAAAGCCUUGGGGCUAAUACCCUCGAGGAAGGACAUCACCCACAGAAGAAGCACCGGCUAACUCCGUGCCAGCAGCCGCGGUAAUACGGAGGGUGCGAGCGUUAAUCGGAAUUACUGGGCGUAAAGCGCGCGUAGGCGGUCUGAUAAGCCGGUUGUGAAAGCCCCGGGCUCAACCUGGGAACGGCAUCCGGAACUGUCAGGCUAGAGUGCAGGAGAGGAAGGUAGAAUUCCCGGUGUAGCGGUGAAAUGCGUAGAGAUCGGGAGGAAUACCAGUGGCGAAGGCGGCCUUCUGGACUGACACUGACGCUGAGGUGCGAAAGCGUGGGUAGCAAACAGGAUUAGAUACCCUAGUAGUC